CCUACGGGAGGCAGCAGUGGGGAAUAUUGCACAAUGGGGGAAACCCUGAUGCAGCGAUGCCGCGUGAGUGAAGACGUAAUUCGUUAUGUAAAGCUCUAUCAGCAAGGACGAAAAUGACGUUACCUGAGUAAGAAGCCCCUGCUAACUACGUGCCAGCAGCCGCGGUAAUACGGAGGGGGCAAGCGUUAUCCGGAUUUACUGGGUGUAAGGGGAGCGUAGACGGCAGUGCAAGUCUGAAGUGAAAGGCGGGGGCUCAACCCCCGGACUGCUCUGGAAACUGUACGGCUGGAGUGCAGGAGAGGUAAGUGGAAUUCCUAGUGUAGCAGUGAAAUGCGUAGAUAUUAGGAGGAACACCAGUGGCGAAGGCGGCUUACUGGACUGUAACUGACGUUGAGGCUCGAAAGCGUGGGGAGCAAACAGGAUUAGAUACCCUGGUAGUC
RNAcentral lists this ribosomal RNA (440 nucleotides) under uncultured bacterium. Its description in RNAcentral is "partial 16S ribosomal RNA". It matches the Rfam family "Bacterial small subunit ribosomal RNA", at positions 338 to 795 of the family's 1533-position model. The record is from RNAcentral.